UCAGUGAUGGGUGAUGGGGCUCACCCCGAACCGCCGGCGACGGCUGAUGGCUCCUGCGCAACA
This 63-nucleotide non-coding RNA is filed under the name Gemmatimonadota bacterium. RNAcentral's name for it is "Gemmatimonadetes bacterium Fluoride sequence". It matches the Rfam family "Fluoride riboswitch aptamer (crcB RNA motif)". The record is from RNAcentral. Lineage: Bacteria; Pseudomonadati; Gemmatimonadota.